RNAcentral lists this long non-coding RNA (228 nucleotides) under Capsicum annuum. Its description in RNAcentral is "long non-coding RNA (CANN_LNC022259)". Lineage: Eukaryota; Viridiplantae; Streptophyta; Magnoliopsida; Solanales; Solanaceae. The record is from RNAcentral.
UCCUCUGGUGGAUGCUCAAAUUACCAGUUUUCGAACUUUGCUAUAGAAGAUCAAGGAGAAAUAUUCAUGUCCGUCUCAUCAGCUUAUAGUAGCAGAUGCACGGAUUAGUACUACUACAAUCUGUAGCGGAGAGAUUGCUUCUCCUUUGGCCGAAGCAAACUCAAGCCCUGUGGAUAAUGUUGUGGGUCAUCGGGGGCUACUUGAUACUUUCAUCGAUGAACAUUCAGG